Mus musculus (house mouse) is the source of this 11739-nucleotide RNA transcript. It is a transcript of the gene named predicted gene 9567, with no coding region annotated. Lineage: Eukaryota; Metazoa; Chordata; Mammalia; Rodentia; Muridae. The record is from RefSeq and is a predicted model, not a curated record. The transcript has 2 exons.
CACCCCCACUAGCCUCCAUUUCUUCAGCAUGGCUUGCCGCCGCCACCGCCUCUUCCUGUUGUCAUAGCAACAGGAUCCAGGCGCCCAGCCAAGGUUGGCAGCGGCGGCCGGAAAUAAGGGGAGGGCCUUUUUAAAAAGACCCCAGGAAUGCCCUCCCCACCUCUUCCCCCCCCCCCAAAAAAAAUCAAGGAAAAGCUCAGCUUCCCAGGUCUUUUCUCCUCUUUUCUCAAGUAGCGGGGCCAAAGAUUGCUUCCAAAUGAACCAUCAUUCAUUUACAAGCACAGCAAGCAUUUUGAGUUUUACCAACAAUUUUCUUUUUCUUGGUACCCUCUGCUUCCCCAUUGCUUAACCCUGACGGAAAAGGAGGAUGUCGUUCGGUUCUCAUCAAGACAAGAAUCAGGCUGGGGAACAAAGAGGAUAGAUAAACGCAUUCAGGACUGGGCUGGAGAACUAGGCAACAGUUGUGAACAUAGCUGUCACUUCUAAAACUAACCAGUGAGUAUGGGAUGGGCCAAUUUCAGGUAGGGAAAAAAAAAAAAAAACAGACGAUUUUAACUUUGUUCUUGGUCUGAGUUUCAGGAAUGUCUCCUGGCUUCUGGGUGACCUUGGACCAAACAUUUCCUGUCCUUCUAAACUCAGCCAUUCUGGGGACCAGAGUUGCCUUGAGACAAAAUGAUAACAGCCUGGAAAGUCGCCUCACUUUUUUUUUAAAGGACGAUGUAAAUUGAGCCAGGAGUAGUGGUGCACAUUUUUGAUCCCAGGGAGGUAGAGAUAGGAGCAUCAGAGUUCAAGGUUGUCCUUGGUUACAUAGGGAGUUUGAGGUCAGCCUGAGCUACAUGGGCAUGGGGGGAGGGGGGAGGGAAAACGACACCAUAAAAAAAUCUUAAGAACUAGCCAAGGUUUGUCUCUCUUGGGCUAGACAGCCCACAAACCACUUUAUCUCAGGAAAUUCUUACAAAGUAUCUGUGAAAUGGGCAGGCUGAGACUCUGAGAUGUGAAGCCAUUCACCCAAGAUCACCCAGGGGAUACGAGGCAGAGCUGAGUUGAAGCAGCUUUUUUGUGGAGAAAGACCAGCAAUGGACUCAGCGCCUUGUAAGCAUCCUGUCUUGGAGAGAAGCAGUUCAGAGGUUAGCCCUGUACUGUUUUAUUUUAAUGACUUAUUUCUCUGCUUGUUGUAUAUAUGUAUGGACACAUCUUUGCAUAUGUGUACAGGUGCGUGCGUGCGUGUGUGCGUGCGUGCGUGCGUGCGUGUGUGUGUGCGUGCGUGCGUGCGUGCGCGUGCGUGUGUGCGUGCGUGCGUGCGUGUGUGUGUGUGUGUGCGUGCGUGCGUGCGUGUGUGCGUGCGUGCGUGUGUGUGUGUGUAACGGAAGUCCGCGUCGCUAUCUUCUUCAUGCUCUCCAUCUUAUAUCUUGGGACAGGGUCUCUCACUGAGAUUGAGGAGUCUGUUAGACUGGUCAGGCAGCAGAACUCAGGCUGUUUCUGUUCCUCUUCCCUUCUCCUGAGAUUAUGGGCUCUGCCACACUCAGAUGCUUCCAUAGGUGCAGGGAAUUUAAACUCAGAUCUUCACGCCUUUGCUGCAAGCCUCUCACUGGCUGAGCCACCUGUACAACUUCUAGUUAUUUGUUUUUAUUUUAAAGACAGGUUCUCUUGUGUCGCAGGCUGGCCAGGAAUUCACUGUGCAGUCAAAGAUGACCCUGAACUUCUGAUCUUCUUGUCUCUAUCUCCUGAACUUUGGGAUUAUGGGUGUACAAUACCAUACUUAGUUUUGUUGUUGUUGUUGUUGUUGUUGUUUUCGAGACAGGGUUUCUCUGUGUAGCCCUGUCUGUCCUGGAACUCACUCUGUAGAUUAGGCUGGCCUUGAACUCAGAAAUCCGCCUGCCUCUGCCUCCUGAGUGCUGGGAUUAAAGGUGUGCGCCACCAACACCCGGCACCAUACUUAGCUUUAAGUUGCUUAAUUCAUUUCAUUGUAUUUCUUUUUCUGUGCAAUUAUAGGAAAUAGGAGGAGUAUGCAUGCCAUGAUAUUUAUGUGCAUACCAGAGGACAGUCAGUGAGAAUUGGUUCUCUCCACAAUAUAGGUCCCAGAAAGGGAACUCAUCACAUCAGGCCUGGUGCAAGUACCUUUUAUCCAAUAAGCUAUUGGGGGCGGGGGGGGAUGUCUUAUUAUGUAGACUAGAUUGGCUUUAAACUUCUAUCAGCUUCCCUUCCUGAGCCUCUCAAGUGCUGGGAUUUCAGGCAUGCAUCAUCAUGUCUAGUUUAGCUCUCAUUUUAUAGACAUAAAAACUGAAGGUGAGAAAGAGAAGCAUGACACAUAGCUAGGAAUCGACGUCAGCUGACGUCAACAUUGGGUAUCACAUAGUGAAGUCACGCCAGGGUUUCCCAGCCUUGCUGUGACUGACAUCCACACCAGGUGUGACUUUCUUGAGGGAUGUAUUUCACAUUGUGGGAGACUGAGCAGCAACCCUGGCUGGCACCCACUAAAAUUGGCAACCUCUCUCUAGUUCUGGUAACCAGAGUAUUCCUUCAGACACUGCCCAGAGUCCCUUUCAAGAUAAAAAUCAGCCACAGUUGAGAAAUAGCAACAUAAAAUAGCCACUGGAGGUAGGGGAUGCCAGCUUUAUUUUUAUUUUAAAUUAAAAUCAAUUUCCUAAAUAACUCAACAUUGCUAGUAACUACUUUUUAGAGUUAAAAAGAACUAAAUAGUACAUGAGGGAUUUUAAGAAAAACAGUUUGCCAAUUCUACUCCAAGUCCUGUUCCUUGUGAGAAGGAGCUGCUAGUGGGGAUUUUGUUGUUGUUGUUUUAGGGUUCUAUAGUUUAUUUUAUACACAUGAGUGUUUGGCUUGCAUCUAUGUAUGCACACCACAUGUGUGCCUGGUGCUGGAUGAGGUCAGAAGAGGGAGUCUGACCUUUGGGAUUUGAGUUACAGAUGGUUGUGAGUCACUGUUUGGAGGCUGGGAGUUGAACCUGGAUGCAGAAGCAACAAUCACUUUAAACCCCGAGCCAUUUCUCCAACCCCACUGUGUGUGUGUGUGUGUGUGUGUGUGUGUGUGUGUGUGUGUGUGCGCGCCUACGUGCACAUGCCAGUGCAGGUGUGAACAACAAAAAAAGGGUGUUGGUGCUAUCUAUCACUUUCUGUCUGUUCCUUCGAGGCAGGGUCUCUCCCUGUGCCUGGACUGUGGCUUAUGGUUUCUCUGGAAGCAAAGCUUUUAGAGCCCCUCCAGUCUCUACUCAUCUUGGAACUGAGAUUGCAGAAGUUUCAGGACACCCACCUUGUUGAGUGAGAGCUGGGACAUAGCUGUGACGGUUAGAAUUGUGCAGCAAGUGCUCUUGAAAGCACAGGACUGUCUCUCUGUCACUGUUUUAAAUCACAUCUUCUCCUGGGGCCUGGGGCUGUAGCACUCACCUUCCCUCCCAGCCCUCAGAAGGCAGAGGACAGAUCUGGGUGUGAGAAAUCCAGGUCAGCCAGGACUACAUAGUGAGACCCUGUCUCAAAAGGAAAUUAUUUUCUGACUUUUCUUUAUCCUGGCAUUUCUAAGAAUAAUUAUCUUUGGGUGUGUCUACAUGAUGCAUUAUCUGUAGGUUUUUGUUUCUCUCAUAGAUAAUGAUUUUACUCAUGAGGAACUCAUCUUUUUCUCCCUUCCUUCACAUAUAAAUAUUUUUACACUGCUGGUUAAUUUUUAUAUGUUAAGUGAUAUGUAAUUAAAGCAUUUGUUAUUCUCGUGACUAAAGACAACACAUUUCAUAUUUAUUAUUUAUCUAUUUUCAUUUCUUUAUGUAUUUAUUGAUUUACAGAAGCUGGUUUUGUUUUGGUUUUUUAUUAUAUAUACAUUUUUAAAUUCACUUUAUAUCCUGCUCAUUGGCCCCCUCCUGGUCACCCCCUCCCACAAUCCUUCCUCUCAUCCCCCCUUCCCUUCUCCUCUGAGCGGGUGGGACACCCCUGAGUAUCCCACUACCCUGGCACAUCUAGUCUCUGCAAGGCUAGCUGCAUCCUCUCCCACUAAGGCCAGACAAGCAGCCCAGCUAGAAGAACAUAUCCCACAGACAGGCAACAGCUUUUGGGGUAGCCCACACUCCAGUUGUUCAGGACACAUACAUAUGAAGACCAAGCUGCACAACUGCUACAUACGUGAGGCGAGGCCUAGGUCCAGCCUCUGUAUGCUCUUUGGUUGCUCUUUCAGUCUCCGAAUGCUUCAACAGUCCAGGUUAGUUGAUGCUGCUGGUCUUCCUGUAGAGUUCCUAUCCCCUUCAGGGCCUAGAAUCCUUCCUCCUAUUCUUCCACAGGAUUCCCCAAGCUCCAUCCACUGUUUGGUUGUGGGUGUCUGAAUCAGUCUGAGUCAGCUGCUGGGUGGAGCCUCUCAGAGGACAAAAUGCUCCUAUCUGCAAGUAUAACAGAUAUCAUUAAUAGUGUUGAGGGUUGGUGCUUGACCAAGAGACGGCUCUCAAGGUGUUCUGGUUAUUGGUUGGCCAUUCUCUUAGUCUCUGCUCUAUCCCCCAUCACUGCAUUUCUUACAGACAAGAUAAAUUUGUCUGGCUACAGGAAGUGGCCUCUUCUGAUUCCAUAGCCCUAAUUCUGUGUGAGUCACAGCUAAGGUCACCUCCAUUGAAUCUUGGGGGCCUCCGUUAUCCCAGGCCUCUGUCAUAUCCUGGAGAUGUCCCUCAUCUUCCCACCCCAUCAGUUGCAGAUUUCCAUUCAUUCUCAUGGCCAUCUGGCCAUCUCUCCUAGCCUCUUCAUGCCUGAUCCUAAACCCUCCAUCCCCAUCCAUUCCCAACCCAUCCCCAUCCCCAUCCCCAUCCCCACCCCAUCUCUAUCCCCAUCCCCCUCCAUCCCCAUCCCCAUCCAUCCCCAUCCCCCUCCAUCCCCAUCCCCCUCCAUCCCCAUCCCCAUCCAUCCCCAUCCCCCUCCAUCUCCAUCCCCAUCCCCCUCCAUCCCCAUCCCCCUCCAUCCCCCUCCAUCUCCAUCCCCAUCCAUCCCCCUCCAUCUCCAUCCCCCUCCAUCCCCAUCCAGUUCUCUCCCUCCAUCUGCCUCUUAUGACCAUUUUAUUCUUCCUUCCAGUGAGAUUCAAGCAUCCUUGCUUGUGCCUUCCUUCUUUUAAUUUCUUUGGCUCUAUGUAGUGUAGCAUGGGUAUCCUGUAUCUUAUGGCUAAUAUCCACUUAUAAGUGAGUCCAUACCAUGCAUGUCCUUUGGGAUCCUGAUUACCUCACUCAGGAUGAUAUUCUCAAGUUCCAUCCAUUUGACUGCAGAAUUCAUAGCUGAAUAAUAGGGGUCCAUUAUGUGAUGUACCACAUUUUCUUUUCCAUUCUUCGGUUGAGGGACAUGUGGGUUGCUUCCAGUUUCUAGCUAUUAUAAAUAAGGCUGCUAUGAACACAGUUGAGCAAGUGUCUUUGUGGGAUGGUGGAGCAUCUUUUGGGUAUAUGCCCAGGAGUGGUAUAGCUGGAUCCUGAGGUAGAAUUAUUCCCAGUUUUCUGAGAAACCGCCAAAUUGAUUUGCAAAGUGGUUGUACAAGUUUGCAAUCCCACCAGCAAUGGUGGCGUGUUCCCCUUUCUCUACAUCCUCACCAGCAGGUGCUAUUACUUGAUUUUUUGAUCUUAGCCAUUCUGAAGGGUGUGAGAUGGAAUCUCAGAGUUGUUUUGAUUUGCAUUUCCCUGAUGACUAAGGACUUUGAACAUUUCUUUAAAUGUUUUUCUGCCAUUCCAGCUUCCUCUGUUGAGAAUUCUCUGUUUAGCUCUGUACCCCAUUUUUAAUUGGGUUAUUUGUGGGUUUAGUGUCUGACGCUUGAGUUCAAAUAUUUUGGAUAUUUACCCUCUGACAGAUGUAAGGUUGGAGAAGAUCCUUUCCCAAUCUGUAUGCUGCCAUUUUGUCCUUUUGAUUUAUUUUGUCAUAUAUAGAUACAGAUAAAGAUACAGAUGCAAAUACAGAUAUUUAGAGAGGGAUUCUCUGUUUAGUUCUGUCUGUUGUGGAACUUGCUCUGAGGACUAGGCUGGAUUCACCUGACUCUACCUCCAGAGUGCUGGGAUUAAAGGCCUACACCACCAUCAUCUGGCUUAAUUUUUUUUUUUUUAAAGACACGGGAGUGGUGGCACACGCAGUGUGGUCUCACAUAGCCUAAGCUUUCCUUGAAUUUUCUGUGUAGGGAAGGCUAAUCUUGAACGCAUGAUCCUCCUGCCUCUAGCUCUUGAAUUACUAGUGCACAUAUUACUGGUGUGUACUACCACACCUACGAUGCCCUGGAUUGACCUCAUGAUCUUAUGCACACACACUACACAAAUACUUUACCUACUGAACCACAUCCCCAGUCCCUCUAAUAUUUUUGAAAAAGCAAACGAAGAGGGCCAGAGUUAACCAGGUAGACACAUUUGCCAUGAAAUACUGAUGACCUCAGUUCAAUCCUCAGAACCCAUGUAAAAAGUCAGAUGUGAUGGCUCACGUCUGUAAUCCUAGCACUCCUGUGGCAAAACAGAAGAAUUGCUCAGAAGUUCAUAGGCCAGUUAACCUGGAAUACAAAAAAAGAGAUCCUGUCUCAACAAUAAGGUAGAUGGGCUGUCAAAAUGACUCAGCUUGUAAAAACACUUGCUGCAAAAGCCUGAUGACACGAGUUUGAAAGAAACAACUCCUUAGAGUUGCUUUUGGGACACACACACACACACACACACACACACACACACACACCAUACAUCAUACUGUAAAGAGAGCCAUGAUAUAGAGCAUUCUGAUUGGCAGAGAGAGAACAAGGAACUUCUGACUACAGCUUUCAGGAGUUUGUCAAUCUCUCCCAGCCCAAGCUCCAUAUAAGAACAAGCCAGAUGGGCAUGGUGGUGCACGCCUUUAAUCCCAGCACUCGGGAGGCAGAGGCAGGCGGAUUUCUGAGUUUGAGGCCAGCCUGGUCUACAGAGUGAGUUCCAGGACAGCCAGGGCUACACAGAGAAACCCUGUCUCGAAAAACCAACAACAACAACAACAAAAAAGAACAAGCCAAUCCAAGGUUUCAGAUCUGAGAGUCUCUGGGCAGGUCCAAACGCAUCCUGCUUGACCCUAAUCCAUAGAAGCUACGAGACGGUUGUCACGUGGUACGUGUUGUUUUAGGCUGUUGAUAGGCCUUCUGCUAUGUUAACAGAUGACUACCAUUGCCUAUAAAGCAUCACACUGUGAAGCUCACACGUGCUGUUCAUCCACUGUGGCCUUAGUGCUGCCUUGAAGUCUCCCAUUCCAACAGUCAGGACACAUGUAGGUCCUAUUUGGUCUCCCGUGUAGACGCUCUUUCCUCUCCAUUCCCUUUCCUCUUCCCAGCCUUCCUUAGGCUUUCCUGCCAGCCCAGCCCAGCCCAUUUUUUCUUUACAUGAUCCCCAAAGACUCUCAGCAGUAUCAUAGCUGGCCCCGUUCCUUUCCCUCUUAAACUUCUCCAUGGCUCCGUUGUCCUCAGAAGAAAAUGUAGGCUCCUUAACUGAGUCUGUGUGACAAAACUGUCUCCCCCCUCCAUGCUGGACAUCCUCCUGCUGCAUCCCUAAACUGCAGCUGCCCACCUACUCUGCUCAGCUACAAGCCUCCAUGCACUCAUUUUGUUGUUUCAUUUCAAGCAUUGAUUGAUUGAUUGAUUGAUGGCAUGUGUGUUGUGUGUGCAUGUCCUGUUGCCACUGUGGAGAUCAGAGGACAACUUUCAGGAGUCCGUAUUCCCCACUAUGUGAGCUCCAAGGAGCAAAUUUAGAUCAGUAGUUUUGGUGGUAAAGGCCUUGACACACUGAGCCAUGGCUUUGGGCCUUCCAUCAGUAUUUCAAAAAUUAUUAUGGUCCAGCCAGGCGUGGUGGUGCAUGCCUUUAAAACCAGCACUCGGGAGGCAGAGGCAGGCGGAUUUCUGAGUUCAAGGCCAGCCUGGUCUACAAAGUGAGUUCCAGGACAGCCAGGUCUACACAGAGAAACCCUGUCUUGGAAAAAGAAAAAGAAAAAAGAAAAAAGAAACUCUGUCAAAAAUGAUUAUGUUUUUAAAAUUACAUGUAGGUGUCUAUGGGGGUGGGGUAAGUGCAGUCGCCUCUGAGUGCAGUUUGAUUCAGAGGGCAGACAAUGGCACUGGAGCUCCUGAAGCUGAAGGCAAUCUUGAACCAAACUCAGGUCCUCAGGAAAAGCAGAAAGUGGGGCUGGCGAGAUGGCUCAGUGGUUAAGAGCGCUGACUGCUCUUCCAAAGGUCCCGAGUUCAAAUCCCAGCAACCACAUGGUGGCUCACAACCAUCCGUAACAAAAUCUGACUCCCUCUUCUGGAGUAUCUGAGGACAGCUACAGUGUACUUACAUAUAAUAAAUAAAUGAAUCAAAAAAAAAAAAGAAAGAAAGAAAAGCAGAAAGUGCUCUUAACCACUGAAUCAUCUCUCUAGCCUCCCUUCCAUCCACUUUUAAAAGAUUCAACCAUGCCGGGUGGUGGUGGCACACGCCUUUAAUCCUAGCACUUGGGAGGCAGAGGCAGGUGGAUUUCUGAGUUCGAGGCCAGCCUAGUCUACAAAGUGAGCUCCAGGACAGCCAGGGCUAUACAGAGAAACCCUGUCUCGAAAAACCAAACAAACAAACAAACAAAGAUUCAACCAUAGCCAAGUGUGGUUGCCCUUGCCUUUAAUUCUAGCACUCAGAAGGCAGAGGCACUCAGAUUUCUGAGUUUGACACCAGCUUGGUCUACAGAGUGAGUUCCAGGACAGCCAGGGUUACACAGAGAAACCCUGUCUCAAAACAAAUGAACAAAUGAAUGAAGGAGGAAACGAAAGAAAGGAAAACAGAAAGAUUCAACCUCUUGUUGCUAUGGUGGUACACACCUUUAAUCCCAGAACUUUGGAAGGUGAGGCGUAAGGAUAAAGAAUUUAAAGAUAGUAUCAGUUGAGUAGUAAAUUCAGUGUCAGCCCAGGUCAUAUAAGACCAUGUCUCAAAAACAAACAGGAGAUAGAGAGAUUUCUCAGUGGUUAAGAGCAUCUAUUGCCUUUGUAGUGCACAUAGGUUUGAUUCUCAGCACCAGCGCGGUGAUUCACAGCCAUCUGCAGUUGCAGUUCUAGGGGAUUCGAUACUCUCUUUUGACCUCCAUGGAAACUAAGCACACACAUGGUACACAGACAUACAUACCUGCAGGCAAAACAUUCAGACAUAAAAUAAAAUGACCAAGUCUAACUUUAAACCUUUAAACAAAGAAGAGCCGGUGGAAUGGUUCAGCCAAUGAAAGCAAUUGUCACCUGAUGAUACAAUGCUAGAAACCUGAGUGGGAUCCCCAGACACCAUUGAAAACUGGAGGGAGAGAGUGGAUUCCAUAAAGUUGUCCUUUGACCUAUGCACUUUGGCACAAGCAGCCUUUCCACUGGCACACACACACACACACACACACACACACCACAUAGCAGUAAUAUGUUUUUAAAACCCAGGGCUGGAAAAUUAGCUCAUUUGGUUAGAGUGCUUGCCUAGCACGGAUGAAGCCUUGGGUUCAAUCCCCGGACAGGAUGUGUGGGGGUGAUUGCCUGAAAUCCCAGCAGUCUAGAGACAGAGACAGGAGGGUCAAGAAUUCAAGUCAUUCUUGACUACACAUGGGCACGUGGGUUCAAGACCUGCCUGGGCUACAUGAGUUCUUAUCUCAAGAACAAAAUAAGAGGCUGGAGAGAUGGCUCAGUGGUUAAGAGCACUGACUGCCCUUCCAGAGGUCUUGAGUUCAAUUCCCAGCAACCACAUGGUGGCUCACAACCAUUUGUAAUGAGAUCUGAUGCCCUUUUAUGGAGUGUCUGAAGACAGCUACAAUGUGCUUACAUAUAAUAAAUAAAUAAAUCUUUAAAAAAAAUAACAAGGUCCAGUGAGGUGGCUUUAUAGGAAAAUAUUCUUUUUUGUUUUUGUUAUUGUUUUUUUUUUUUCAAGACAGGGUUUUCUGUAGUCCUGGUUGUCCUGGAACUCACUCUGUAGACCAGGUUGGCCUUGGACUCAGAAAUCUGCCUGCCUCUGCCUCCCGAGUGCUGGGAUUAAAGGUGUGCGCCACCACGCCCGGCAGGAAAAUAUUCUUGGUGCCAAGCUUCUUGACAACUUCAAGCCCCAACGAUGCACAUAGGUGAAAGAGAACUGGCUCUCACACGUUGUCCACCUCUGACCUCCACAGGCAUGCAGUAGCUUGUGCACUUCCCCUGGGAUAGACAGGUAGAUAGAUAGAUAGUUAGCUUUUAAAAUAUGAGAGAGAGAGAGAGAGAUUGAUUGAUUGAUUGAUUGAUUGAUUGAUUGAUUUACCAGGCUGGAGAGAUGGCUCAGAGGUUAAGAGUACUGGCUGCUUUCCCAGGGGUCCUGAAUUCAAUUCUCAGCAACAAUAUGGUGGCUCACAACCAUCUGUAAUGAGAUUUGGCACCCUCUUCUGGUGUGCAGGCAUAUAUGUAGACAGAACACUAUAAUACAUAGUAAAUAAAUAAGUUUUGAGAGAGGGUGGGGGUACACUUGCAGGAAGCCUUCUCUGACCUCUGCAGCCUUUAUCCAGGCUGUCUAUGCUUCCAAGUUGCCUUCUCUACCAGCAACCAGGUACCCCACCUAGUGUUUGCUGUGUGUGUGUGUGUGUGUGUGUGUGUGUGUGUGUGUGUGUGUGGUUUGGGGGGGGUGUCUAUCCUGCCUGUCAGUGUAGCUGACCAAAGACAGGAAUAGAUUUGAUUCACUUUGGCCCACCUCCACAGCCAGUAGAUGGGGUACCUCUGUCCACGGAUGCUGAAUGGGAAAGUGAAUGAAUGAAUCGAUGAAUGAAUGAUGCUGGGAAGUGAGUGGGCCUGUUCUCUGUAGUCUACCCUGUAGUGUCAGCUCUAUCCUCCCAUCACCCGAAGCCUCCAGUCCCUUGCAUCCUCUCCCCAGGUGUUCGUCAUCAGCCACAGCUGGGGCCUUUGUGUUUCUGGAAAGGAACAGAGAGUGGCUGUGUGGCUCUUCUUCCCACUGCAUAGGAAAAGGGUGAUGAUCAGCGCUUCUAGAAUGUCCUCAUUCAGGGUGAAGUGGAAAUGUCCCAGCUCUGGGGAGUCAGGUGGUCGGCAUUUUUACAUGCUGUUUCUCCUGGUCUCCUCCAAGGUAACAGAGUCAAUGCCUUACUCCCUACCCAUUGGACCUCUUAAUCUGUACAAGAGAGAGGUUGCCUGAGUGAGCCCCCUCUGAAUGGGACACUGUACAACUGAGAUUGGAAAUCACAUACCCAGAGAGUCUUGGAAGAGCUGGGGGAACGUCCAUGAAGCUCCUGAAAUUCUGUACUGAAUUUUGUGAGGAUGGGUGCUCCGUACGCACACCAGAUGUUCAUCAUUUUUAUCUGAUUCUCAGAGGGAAUUUCAAUGGCUGUAUUAACAACAAUAAAUAUAUAAAAGCAAGGACUAGAGAAUGGCUCAGUUGGUAGAGAAGGACUGCCUAGCAUGAUAAAGCCCUGGGUUCAAUCCCCACCACAGAAUAAACCAGGCAUGAAGGUGGUCCCCCCACAGUUCUAGCACUUGGCAGGUAAAAGUGAGAGGGUUAGAUGUUCAAAACCACCCUUCCAAAACACAGUGAGUUUGGGACCAGUUUAGACUACAAGAGUCUUGUUUUUGUUUUGCUUUGUUUUGUUUUGUUUUUAAAGAUUAGAUAGAUAGAUAUAGAUAAAUAGAUACAUGAUAGACAGAUAGAUAUAAUAGAUAGACAGGCAGACAGACAAAUAAUAAUUAGAUGAUAGAUGGGCAGACAGACAGAUAAUAGAUGAUAGAUAGACAGACAGACAGAAGGCAGGCAGAUUGAUGAGUAGAUGAUAGGUAUGU